RNAcentral lists this ribosomal RNA (241 nucleotides) under uncultured bacterium. Its description in RNAcentral is "partial 16S ribosomal RNA". It matches the Rfam family "Bacterial small subunit ribosomal RNA", at positions 524 to 765 of the family's 1533-position model. The record is from RNAcentral.
UACGAAGGGGGCUAGCGUUGCUCGGAAUCACUGGGCGUAAAGCGCACGUAGGCGGAUUGCUAAGUCAGGGUGAAAUCCUGGAGCUCAACUCCAGAACUGCCCUUGAUACUGGCGGUCUCGAGUCCGGGAGAGGUGAGUGGAACUGCGAGUGUAGAGGUGAAAUUCGUAGAUAUUCGCAAGAACACCAGUGGCGAAGGCGGCUCACUGGCCCGAUACUGACGCUGAGGCACGAAAGCGUGGG